UACGUAGGCAGCGAGCGUUGUUCGGAGUUACUGGGCGUAAAGAGUGCGUAGGCGGUUUUCUAAGUUUGGUGUGAAAUCUCCCGGCUUAACUGGGAGGGUGCGCCGAAAACCGGAAGGCUUGAGUAUGGGAGAGGUAAGCGGAAUUCCUGGUGUAGCGGUGAAAUGCGUAGAUAUCAGGAGGAACACCUGCGGUGUAGACGGCUUACUGGACCAUAACUGACGCUGAGGCACGAAAGCGUGGGUAGCAAACAGG
RNAcentral lists this ribosomal RNA (253 nucleotides) under uncultured bacterium. Its description in RNAcentral is "partial 16S ribosomal RNA". It matches the Rfam family "Bacterial small subunit ribosomal RNA", at positions 524 to 776 of the family's 1533-position model. The record is from RNAcentral.